AAACCAUGAUGAGGACACCGAGCUUGGUAGUCCUUGAAUCUCUCCCAUGCCUCACUGAAGCUCUCUAGAUUCUUCUGCUGGAAACCAGAGAUCUCAUUCCUUAUCUU
Small nucleolar RNA from Lycium ferocissimum, 107 nucleotides. The record is from RefSeq and is a predicted model, not a curated record. Lineage: Eukaryota; Viridiplantae; Streptophyta; Magnoliopsida; Solanales; Solanaceae.